AAGCCCUUACCCAUCUAUCUGAUAGAUACAACUCAGGUAGAGAGGAGGGGUUUGC
Molecule: microRNA precursor, 55 nt
Filed under: Sarcophilus harrisii (Tasmanian devil)
Lineage: Eukaryota; Metazoa; Chordata; Mammalia; Dasyuromorphia; Dasyuridae
Description: Sha-Mir-7373-o7_pre stem-loop
Source: RNAcentral